GGGGUUGUGGCUCAGUGGUAGAGCACUCACCUAGCCCGUGUGAGGCGCUAGAUUCGAUCCUCAGCACCA
Molecule: transfer RNA, 69 nt
Filed under: Marmota monax (woodchuck)
Lineage: Eukaryota; Metazoa; Chordata; Mammalia; Rodentia; Sciuridae
Description: tRNA.Ala
Source: RNAcentral